AAUUAGCCCUGAUUGCAGCGGUUACCCCGCAACAAGCGAAGGAAAAAGCUCUGGAGUGAGGAGUAUGAGCGGAAAGCAGGUUCCCGG
RNAcentral lists this unclassified non-coding RNA (87 nucleotides) under Chryseobacterium taihuense. RNAcentral describes it as "Flavo-1 RNA". Lineage: Bacteria; Pseudomonadati; Bacteroidota; Flavobacteriia; Flavobacteriales; Weeksellaceae. The record is from RNAcentral.